RNAcentral lists this ribosomal RNA (207 nucleotides) under uncultured bacterium. RNAcentral describes it as "partial 16S ribosomal RNA". It matches the Rfam family "Bacterial small subunit ribosomal RNA", at positions 568 to 774 of the family's 1533-position model. The record is from RNAcentral.
CGCGCAGGUGGUUGAUCAAGUCUGGCGUGAAAGCCCCCGGCUUAACUGGGGAGGGUCGUCGGAGACUGGUCGACUUGAGGGCAGGAGGGGUUGGUGGAAUUCCCGGUGUAGUGGUGAAAUGCGUAGAGAUCGGGAGGAACACCCGUGGCGAAGGCGGCCAACUGGACUGACCCUGACACUGAGGCGCGAAGGCGUGGGGAGCGAACG